GAGGACAGGUGUACAUAUAUGAGCACUUAUGUACCAGCUCCAGGACAGAGGACAGGUGUGCAUAUAUGAGCACUUAUGUAUCAGCUCCAGGACAGAGGACAGGUGUACAUAUAUGAGCACUUAUGUAUCAGCUCCAGGACAGAGGACAGGUGUGCAUAUAUGAGCACUUAUGUACCAGCUCCAGGACGGAGGACAGGUGUGCAUAUAUGAGCACUUACGUACCAGCUCCAGGACGGAGGACAGGUGUGCAUAUAUGAGCACUUACGUACCAGCUCCAGGACGGAGGACAGAUGUACAUAUAUGAGCACUUACGUACCAGCUCCAGGACAGAGGACAGGUGUGCAUAUAUGAGCACUUAUGUACCAGCUCCAGGACAGAGGACAGGUGUGCAUAUAUGAGCACUUAUGUACCAGCUCCAGGACAGAGGACAGGUGUGCAUAUAUGAGCACCUAUGUACCAGCUCCAGGACAGAGGACAGGUGUGCAUAUAUGAGCACUUAUGUACCAGCUCCAGGACAGAGGACAGGUGUGCAUAUAUGAGCACUUAUGUACCAGCUCCAGGAC
Molecule: long non-coding RNA, 563 nt
Filed under: Homo sapiens (human)
Lineage: Eukaryota; Metazoa; Chordata; Mammalia; Primates; Hominidae
Description: HSALNT0025330
Source: RNAcentral